Molecule: ribosomal RNA, 228 nt
Filed under: uncultured bacterium
Lineage: Bacteria
Description: partial 16S ribosomal RNA
Rfam family: Bacterial small subunit ribosomal RNA
Source: RNAcentral
UGCGUAGGCGGUUAAAUAAGUCAGUGGUGAAAGCCCGGAGCUCAACUCCGGAACUGCCAUUGAUACUAUUAAUCUUGAAUACAGUUGAGGUGGGCGGAAUGUGUAGUGUAGCGGUGAAAUGCUUAGAUAUUACACAGAACACCGAUUGCGAAGGCAGCUCGCUAAACUGUUAUUGACGCUGAGGCACGAAAGCGUGGGGAGCGAACAGGAUUAGAUACCCUGGUAGUC